Molecule: long non-coding RNA, 306 nt
Filed under: Mytilus galloprovincialis (Mediterranean mussel)
Lineage: Eukaryota; Metazoa; Mollusca; Bivalvia; Mytilida; Mytilidae
Source: RNAcentral
UUUUCUGUUUUUAUUGUAACCGGAACCACCGUUUCGAUGACGUAUUAAUAUGCACUUAUGAUAACGCUGGAAUGAAUGAAAGAAACAUCUUAAAAUAAGCCUUUUUAUACCAUCUGCAGGUAAAUUAUUAUUGUAUUAAUUAUUUCCUGGCCUUUAUAUUAUUAUAAAUUGCUUUUAUUGUUUGUGUAAAGUCCUCAACACAUAUAUAAACAUGAUAAACACAUCAAAACAAACAAUAUUCAUACGGCAAACCAUUGCCGACGUAUUUUCAUAUUUUUGUAUCAUUAUUGGUGUAUACAACAGCAC